GCAUGAUCUAUGUGUGGAAUUGAGAUGAUAGCUUUGGAAGUCACAUAUCGUUUCAACGAUUUUGCAUCCCCUGUACUGACUAAUAGCGAUUUUGUUGGUCCAGAGCCAACAACAGAUCGGUUUGUGGUUGCAAUG
Molecule: non-coding RNA, 135 nt
Organism: Camelina sativa (false flax)
Lineage: Eukaryota; Viridiplantae; Streptophyta; Magnoliopsida; Brassicales; Brassicaceae
Source: RefSeq, a predicted model, not a curated record